GAUGAACGCUAGCGGCAGGCCUAAUACAUGCAAGUCGGACGGGAUUCAGGAGCUUGCUUCUGAUGAGAGUGGCGCACGGGUGCGUAACACGUAUGUAACCUACCUUUAUCAGGGGGAUAGCCUCUCGAAAGAGAGAUUAAGCCCGCAUAAAAUCACAGCACAGCAUUGUGUAAUGAUCAAAUAUUUAUAGGAUAAAGAUGGGCAUGCGGAACAUUAGCUAGAUGGCGGGGUAACGGCCCACCAUGGCGACGAUGUUUAGGGGAUCUGAGAGGAUGGCCCCCCACACUGGUACUGAGACACGGACCAGACUCCUACGGGAGGCAGCAGUAAGGAAUAUUGGUCAAUGGGCGGAAGCCUGAACCAGCCAUGCCGCGUGCAGGAAGACGGCCCUACGGGUUGUAAACUGCUUUUAUACGGGAAUAAACCCAGAUAUGUGUAUCUGGCUGAAUGUACUGUAAGAAUAAGGAUCGGCUAACUCCGUG
RNAcentral lists this ribosomal RNA (482 nucleotides) under uncultured bacterium. Its description in RNAcentral is "partial 16S ribosomal RNA". It matches the Rfam family "Bacterial small subunit ribosomal RNA", at positions 28 to 507 of the family's 1533-position model. The record is from RNAcentral.